UGAAUACGAGAUGCUACGGCGUCGAAGCAGUCUAUGUCAUACUUCCAAGAAAAGCUUGCACUGUCAUAAACAAAUAAUGCCUGUACCAUAACCGACACAGGUGGGUAGGUAGAGUAUACUAAGGGGCGCGAGAUAACUCUCUCUAAGGAACUCGGCAAAAUGACUCCGUAACUUCGGGAGAAGGAGUGCCUCAUUUAUAAGGUUGCAAUAACAAGAUCCAAGCAACUGUUUACCAAAAACACAGGUCUCCGCUAAGUCGUAAGACGAUGUAUGGGGGCUGACGCCUGCCCAGUGCCAGAAGGUUAAAGAAGUUGGUUAGCAUCCGCGAAGCUGAUAACUGAAGCCCUGGUGAACGGCGGCCGUAACAAUAACGGUCCUAAGGUAGCGAAAUUCCUUGUCGGGUAAGUUCCGACCCGCACGAAAGGCGUAAUGAUUUGGAUACUGUCUCGGAGAGGGGCUCGGUGAAAUAGACUUGUCUGUGAAGAUGCGGACUACCUGCACCAGGACAGAAAGACCCUAUGAAGCUUUACUGUAACCUGAAAUUGAAAUUGGACUUUACUUGCGCAGUAUAGGUGGGAGGCGUUGAGAAUAUUCUUGCGGGAUUAUUGGAGCCAUCAGUGAGAUACCACUCUUGUAAUGUUAGAUUUCUAACUUUGUAUCAUUAUCUGGUCAAAGAACAGUUUCAGGCGGGCAGUUUGACUGGGGCGGUCGCCUCCUAAACGGUAACGGAGGCGCACAAAGGUUUCCUCUGAACGGGUAGAAAUCGUAUCUAGAGUGUAAAGGCAUAAGGAAGCUUGACUGUGAGACCUACAAGUCGAGCAGGGACGAAAGUCGGUCUUAGUGAUCUGACGGUGCUGAGUGGAAAGGCCGUCACUCAACGGAUAAAAGUUACUCUAGGAUAACAGGCUGAUCUCCCCCAAGAGUUCACAUCGACGGGGAGGUUUGGCACCUCGAUGUCGGCUCAUCGCAUCCUGGGGCGGUAGUACGUCCCAAGGGUUGGGCUGUUCGCCCAUGAAAGCGGUACGCGAGCUGGGUUCAGAACGUCGUGAGACAGUUCGGUCCAUAUCCGGUGUAGGCGUUAGAAUAUUGAGAGGAGCCUUCUUUAGUACGAGAGGACCGAGAAGGACAUACCUCUGGUGUACCAGUUAUCGUGCCAACGGUAAACGCUGGGUAGCUAUGUGUGGAGUGGAUAACCGCUGAAAGCAUCUAAGUGGGAAGCCCACCUCAAGAUAAGUAUUCUCA
RNAcentral lists this ribosomal RNA (1242 nucleotides) under metagenome. Its description in RNAcentral is "bacterial LSU rRNA". It matches the Rfam family "Bacterial large subunit ribosomal RNA", at positions 1564 to 2816 of the family's 2925-position model. The record is from RNAcentral.